Molecule: long non-coding RNA, 265 nt
Filed under: Elaeis guineensis (African oil palm)
Lineage: Eukaryota; Viridiplantae; Streptophyta; Magnoliopsida; Arecales; Arecaceae
Description: long non-coding RNA (EGUI_LNC041718)
Source: RNAcentral
UAUAUGAUUAUAGAUCCAACACCUAAUAUUUUCACACCCAACACAUAUGAUGCGAUCAAAGGCACUUAUCAGAAGUGGCCAAAUGAUUGUAUCACCAUGUAAUAUUUUUAAGAGCAGCGAAGAACACAAAUUUAGUUAUAAAUUCAAUAAUGCUUAGUGGGAGAAAAUCCUUCAAAUAUUGAAGGAGUUCUUUUGCACCUUUGAAGAUGUAUCUUCAGUGGGAUAACAAUCCUUAGAGAAAGAAAAAAGUGCAAAAGAGUCAUGC